This 506-nucleotide ribosomal RNA is filed under the name uncultured bacterium. RNAcentral's name for it is "partial 16S ribosomal RNA". It matches the Rfam family "Bacterial small subunit ribosomal RNA", at positions 28 to 523 of the family's 1533-position model. The record is from RNAcentral.
GAUGAACGCUAGCUACAGGCUUAACACAUGCAAGUCGAGGGGUAACAAGAUAAAAGCUUGCUUUUCUUGUAGACGACCGGCGCACGGGGGAGUAACGCGUAUCCAACCUGCCUAUAACUAGGGAAUAACCUUGCGAAAGUAAGACUAAUACCCUAUGAUUUCCUUUGAUGACAUCAGGUUAGGAAUAAAGAUUUAGCGGUAAUAGAGGGGGAUGCGUCUGAGGAGCUUGUUGGCGGGGUAAUUGCCCACCAAGGCAACGAUCAGUAGGGGUUCUGAGAGGAAGGUCCCCCAAAUUGGAACUGGGACACGGCCCAAAAUCCUACGGGAGGCAGCAGUGAGGAAUAUUGGUCAAUGGGCGGAAGCCUGAACCAGCCAAGUAGCGUGCAGGAUGACGGCCCUAUGGGUUGUAAACUGCUUUUAUACAGGAAUAAAGUUAGCCACGUGUGGUUAUUUGUAGGUACUGUAUGAAUAAGGACCGGCUAAUUCCGUGCCAGCCGCCGCGGUAA